UAUUCUUAUUUAGGGUUCAAUUUAGUUUUUUUUUUUCUUUUUCAGAUUUUUUUUGGUGGUUUGUAUACUGUAGUUUGAUUUGUUAUUCAUUGUGAUUAUCUUUUUUGUUACUCACGUAUUGGUUCGGUUUUAUUUUAUUUUUCUUUAGAUUUAGGUUGUUUAUUUCCUAUUGUAAGUGAUUUCUCAAAAUACUAGGUUCUUUCCCUGUAACAUUCCCAAACCCUAGAAUAUAUUGCUCAUCUAAAGAGGAUUGUAUAAAGAAAUCAUCUUUUAGACUAGAAAAAACAAUUGUAUAUCAUCAGCUUAGUUAAAUCAGCAGUAUGUAUCAUUGGCUUUGUAUCUCCUUUUGCCAAUUUUGGUUUAUCUGAUGUUUAGUUGAAAGUGCUCCCUCCAUAUCCCCUUUAAGUAAAUCUAUGAUGGUUCUAAUUGUUUUGUUUAUUGGAUGUAGGUUUGUUUUUAUUAUUUUUUAAUCGAUCUAUUGGCUGUAGGUUCUAGACCAAAUCAUUUGAUAUGGUUCUAGACCACAUCGUGGCAGGUUUCUCAGAAAGACAGGAAAGCUUCAAGAGCUUAUAGGCCGUUGACGGCAAUAUCAUGCGUCAUUACAGUUCGAGUGUCUAGGACAUGGGAGAGUUGGACUUUAUGUCUACUGAUGACGUAACCAGUUUAAAUAUGGUUGUUGUUGAUGAAUAGAGAUAAAAUUAACAAGUCAUUAUCGGAAGGAAUCUUAUCUGGAAAUUUGAUAAGAAGGUCUACAAUGGGAGUUUGCACUCAAUGGAGAAUUACAAUUGUCCACUUCCUAACCCAACUUCUAGCCAGCUAACAGCAGAAAGCUAAUAUUCUUUAGGUGGAACACCUCUGUCAGUGCCUUGGAUGUUUAAAUUGUGUCCAAUAUUCCCGAAAAGAAUUUGUUUGUUUGAAGACCUGAAAUCAAAGAUGUUUUGGUGUAACAAGUGCAGUAUUAAAGCUAAUGUUUACUCAAUGUAUGAUCUCUUCAACUAUCAAACCAUUCAGGAGCCAAUAGGGACAUGAUUUCCUUCCAGACUUUAGACCCUUAAAAAACUUUCAACAAAUUCAUGGCUACAACUUCCCUUGCAAUCCAAUUAGCUCGAAAGCUGAUGAACGGUGAGCCAAGUCCGUCGUCACCAAUCCAUUGUAAGUUAUCCUAACAUCUACCUAUGUAUCGUAUGAUAUUUUAAUUGUUGCGUUACUUUUUCAGGAUAUAUAUGUUCUACCACUAUAAUGGCAAGAUCCAUCAGGUGUUUAUCGUGAACACUGUAACGAAAGAAUAUUUAAGAUUUACAGGAAACCAUAAGGUGUCCCAGGAAAAAUAAGGUGGCAUAUAUAAUGGUCAUAGUUUUACCCUAAUUUUUGUACAUAUAGCUGUAACCAUCUAUUUCUUCACAAUCCACUUCGAAAAUUUAAUAAAUGGAUGCAUGUAGGUGUACUUCUUCUUGACUGCCUAACAUGCAGCAAGAAACAACUAAGAGUUGGUGUAUAUAACUUAUCAUGCCACUGAGUUGGUCGACAUACUUCCCUCUACUCUCACGUAUAUCCUUUUUGUUAAUUCUCUAUAUAAGUUUCUAAAGUCUGGCUUAUUUUGAAAUUUGAUGAAUGUAUAAUAUUAAUUAGCUGGAGAAUGGCUCAUUCAAUAGCAGAAAUACGUUGUUACCUGUAUGGUUAUCCUCCGAUGGGAACUACUUAUUUCAACUUGGCAUCAGUUUGAGGAUUUUAAGGUCUUGGUUAGUGUAUGUUGUGUGGGUAAUAAAAUUUACAGGAAAAAACUACUUAUCUGAAUAGGGUAUAUUUCCCGUAUGGUUAUGUUUUUAUGGGAUUCGCUUAUCUCAAUCAUAUAGAUAAAUUCAUUAUUUCAUCUGAACUUGAACUUUUGGCCUUUUUUUAGGGGUUAUUGGUUUUAGAUUGAGAAGGUGUGAAAUGGUCUUUAUGCAAGUAGACGAGGUGGGCAUAUAUGGCCGGAAAAAAAUUAGAAUGAGCAGAGAAUUAUUGAAGUUUUCCAAGGUUCUGAGAAGUCAUCAGACGGUGUUUAAGUCAAAACAUAAUCUCCGGGAAGAAGCUCUUGGUGUGAUAUCAAACCUAAUCUCGGGGAUGUUGUUCACCGAUAUUGACAUUUCAAAACCCGAAGUGGCACGGAUUUGUGGCUUUAAAAUUUUUGCACCUAAGAUGUUUUAUUAACCAUCUUUGUUGAGCUCUAUUAUGAUCAGUACACAGAUGACCUAAAGUGGAGUAAAUUUGAGGCUUUCUAUGAUUGUCUGAUUAAGAUAAAAACAAUUGGAAUGUUGAAAAUGACAUACCUAUAUUUUUGUACCCAAUUAGAGAUUACCAGCCUAAUUUGUACUAUAAAACUAUCCUCACUUCUUCCAUAUUAUGUAUCUGAACAUUUAUUUGCUCAAUCAAUUUGCAUAAUAUUUACAUGUA
Molecule: RNA transcript, 2433 nt
Organism: Papaver somniferum (opium poppy)
Lineage: Eukaryota; Viridiplantae; Streptophyta; Magnoliopsida; Ranunculales; Papaveraceae
Exons: 5
Source: RefSeq, a predicted model, not a curated record